Molecule: ribosomal RNA, 245 nt
Filed under: uncultured bacterium
Lineage: Bacteria
Description: partial 16S ribosomal RNA
Rfam family: Bacterial small subunit ribosomal RNA
Source: RNAcentral
UACGUAGGCAGCAAGCGGUGUUCGGAGUUACUGGGCGUAAAGAGUGCGUAGGCGGUGCUCCAAGUCUGGUGUGAAAUCUCCCGGCUUAACUGGGAGGGUGCGCCGGAAACUGGAGUGCUUGAGUGUGGGAGAGGAAAGCGGAAUUCCUGGUGUAGCGGUGAAAUGUGCAGAUAUCAGGAGGAACACCGGUGGUGUAGACGGCUUUCUGGACCACUACUGACGCUGAGGCACGAAAGCGUGGGGAG